This 292-nucleotide ribosomal RNA is filed under the name uncultured bacterium. RNAcentral's name for it is "partial 16S ribosomal RNA". It matches the Rfam family "Bacterial small subunit ribosomal RNA", at positions 505 to 796 of the family's 1533-position model. The record is from RNAcentral.
GUGCCAGCCGCCGCGGUAAUACAGAGGUGGCAAGCGUUGUUCGGAAUUACUGGGCGUAAAGGGCGCGUAGGCGGUCUUUUAAGUUCCGUGUGAAAUCCCUCGGCUCAACUGGGGAACGGCACGGGAAACUGGGAGGCUUGAGUUCGGGAGAGGGAAGCGGAAUUCCGGGUGUAGCGGUGAAAUGCGUAGAUAUCCGGAGGAACACCGGUGGCGAAGGCGGCUUCCUGGACCGACACUGACGCUGAGGCGCGAAAGCUAGGGGAGCAAACGGGAUUAGAAACCCGCGUAGUCC